RNAcentral lists this ribosomal RNA (252 nucleotides) under uncultured bacterium. RNAcentral describes it as "partial 16S ribosomal RNA". It matches the Rfam family "Bacterial small subunit ribosomal RNA", at positions 525 to 776 of the family's 1533-position model. The record is from RNAcentral.
ACAGAGGUGCCGAGCGUUAGGCGGAAUCACUGGGCUUAAAGCGUGUGUAGGCGGAUCGUUAAGUACCUUGUGAAAUCCCACGGCUCAACCGUGGAACUGCUUGGUAUACUGGUUGUCUUGAGCCACUCAGGGGCGAGCGGAACAAAUGGUGGAGCGGUGAAAUGCGUAGAUAUCAUUUGGAACGCCAAUGGUGAAAACAGCUCGCUGGGGGUGUGCUGACGCUGAGACACGAAAGCCAGGGGAGCGAACGGG